AGAGUUUGAUCCUGGCUCAGGACGAACGCUGGCGGCGUGCUUAACACAUGCAAGUCGAACGGAAAGGCCCUUCGGGGUACUCGAGUGGCGAACGGGUGAGUAACACGUGGGUGAUCUGCCCUGCACUCUGGGAUAAGCCUGGGAAACUGGGUCUAAUACCGGAUAGGACCGCAUGCUUCAUGGUGUGUGGUGCAAAGCUUUUGCGGUGUGGGAUGAGCCCGCGGCCUAUCAGCUUGUUGGUGGGGUAAUGGCCUACCAAGGCGACGACGGGUAGCCGGCCUGAGAGGGUGACCGGCCACACUGGGACUGAGAUACGGCCCAGACUCCUACGGGAGGCAGCAGUGGGGAAUAUUGCACAAUGGGCGCAAGCCUGAUGCAGCGACGCCGCGUGAGGGAUGACGGCCUUCGGGUUGUAAACCUCUUUCACCAGGGACGAAGCGCAAGUGACGGUACCUGGAGAAGAAGCACCGGCCAACUACGUGCCAGCAGCCGCGGUAAUACGUAGGGUGCGAGCGUUGUCCGGAAUUACUGGGCGUAAAGAGCUCGUAGGUGGUUUGUCGCGUUGUUCGUGAAAACUCACAGCUUAACUGUGGGCGUGCGGGCGAUACGGGCAGACUAGAGUACUGCAGGGGAGACUGGAAUUCCUGGUGUAGCGGUGGAAUGCGCAGAUAUCAGGAGGAACACCGGUGGCGAAGGCGGGUCUCUGGGCAGUAACUGACGCUGAGGAGCGAAAGCGUGGGGAGCGAACAGGAUUAGAUACCCCGGUAGUCCAA
RNAcentral lists this ribosomal RNA (773 nucleotides) under uncultured bacterium. RNAcentral's name for it is "bacterial SSU rRNA". It matches the Rfam family "Bacterial small subunit ribosomal RNA", at positions 8 to 798 of the family's 1533-position model. The record is from RNAcentral.